Molecule: ribosomal RNA, 253 nt
Filed under: uncultured bacterium
Lineage: Bacteria
Description: partial 16S ribosomal RNA
Rfam family: Bacterial small subunit ribosomal RNA
Source: RNAcentral
UACGAAGGGUGCAAGCGUUAAUCGGAAUUACUGGGCGUAAAGCGCGCGUAGGUGGUUUGUUAAGUUGGAUGUGAAAGCCCCGGGCUCAACCUGGGAACUGCAUCCAAAACUGGCAAGCUAGAGUAUGGUAGAGGGUGGUGGAAUUUCCUGUGUAGCGGUGAAAUGCAUAGAUAUAGGAAGGAACACCAGUGGCGAAGGCGACCACCUGGACUGAUACUGACACUGAGGUGCGAAAGCGUGGGGAGCAAACAGG